RNAcentral lists this ribosomal RNA (463 nucleotides) under uncultured bacterium. Its description in RNAcentral is "bacterial SSU rRNA". It matches the Rfam family "Bacterial small subunit ribosomal RNA", at positions 28 to 507 of the family's 1533-position model. The record is from RNAcentral.
GAUGAACGCUAGCGGCGUGCCUAACACAUGCAAGUCGAACGUGAGAGGGUACUUGUAUCCUUGAAAGUGGCGGACGGGUGAGUAAGACGUAGGUGACCUGCCUUGAAGUGGGGGAUAACCAUUGGAAACGAUGGCUAAUACCGCAUAAGCUGGUGAUGAUGGGAAUCGUUAUCAGGAAAGCUUUAGUGCUUUGAGGAGGGGCCUACGGCCGAUUAGCUAGUUGGUGAGGUAAAGGCUCACCAAGGCGAUGAUCGGUAGCUGGUCUGAGAGGACGAUCAGCCACACGGGAACUGAGACACGGUCCCGACUCCUACGGGGGGCAGCAGUGAGGAAUAUUCGGCAAUGGGGGCAACCCUGACCGAGCAACGCCGCGUGGAGGAUGACGGUUUUCGGAUUGUAAACUCCUUUUCUCAGGGAAGAGCGAGGACGGUACCGUGGGGAAUAAGUCACGGCUAACUACGUG